Molecule: ribosomal RNA, 253 nt
Filed under: uncultured bacterium
Lineage: Bacteria
Description: partial 16S ribosomal RNA
Rfam family: Bacterial small subunit ribosomal RNA
Source: RNAcentral
UACGUAGGGUGCAAGCGUUAAUCGGAAUUACUGGGCGUAAAGCGUGCGCAGGCGGUUUUGUAAGUCUGUCGUGAAAGCCCCGGGCUUAACCUGGGAAUUGCGAUGGAGACUGCAAGGCUUGAAUCUGGCAGAGGGGGGUAGAAUUCCACGUAUAGCAGUGAAAUGCGUAGAGAUGUGGAGGAACACCGAUGGCGAAGGCAGCCCCCUGGGUCAAGAUUGACGCUCAUGCACGAAAGCGUGGGGAGCAAACAGG